This is a long non-coding RNA of Trachemys scripta elegans, 1701 nucleotides long. RefSeq lists it as uncharacterized. The record is from RefSeq and is a predicted model, not a curated record. The transcript has 3 exons. NCBI's taxonomy places the organism in Eukaryota, Metazoa, Chordata, Testudines, Emydidae.
UGAACAUUCCGAAUACAUCAUUAAUGAGGAAGGCCUGUGCAAAGGGAUGCAUCUUGCCAAGUCCCCUCAAAGUGGCUGCCUUCUGCUCGUCUUGUUUGACCCUGGAAGCGACAUCAUACUGCUGAAUUUUUCACAUCACAAUCAUUUCCCGGCUGUGAAGAUUAUUACUUCAGUGCAGGAUUUCAGCAGGACAGUGGCAGAGGCAGGAAUAGAAGCCAGGUUUCCUGAGUUCCAGUCCAGUGCUCUAUCCACUACACCCCACUGACGAAAGCAAUACAGAGUGGUGCCUCAGAGAGCACUGGAAGGAGUAAUGUAGUGCCAUGCAACAGGCUUGCCCCCCAACCUCGGACAGAUCAGUGGCACCUCAGUUUUGUUAACAUUUGCCAGAAUCUGUGGUCCAAAUUGAACACGGCUCAGUGUGUGUGUCAAACCAUCUGUAGUGAACUCAGCAUUUCCUCUGAGGAUCCUGAAAUAACACAUCAGAUUUAGAUUCAGCUCCAUGAACAUAUGAAAAUGCUAAGGACAGAGAACACCAUGGUGCGAGAGGAAAAACAGAGCUGUUUAUUCAGUCUGAUUACAUCAGAGAGACACUAGGACUGUCUGUGUCACGUGCAGCCCUGACAUCUAUGUUUUCUGCCACUGGAGCGGAGGAAACUACACAAAGAAAACUUGAUGCCCUUAAAUAUUUCUUUACUUAAUCCUUCAAAAGACAAUGGAAGUCCCUUCCCUUUGUCCCUCCCCUUUCCCACCCCCUUGCACUUCUACUGUACAAAAGGGGAUCAUUAAGCAACUGUACAUGUAAGGGGGGGGGGAGGAAAUGGCAGACUGCCAACCUCAGGAAGAAUCAAACACAAAUCUCUCAUUGCCACUCUCAUGUAAAACACUUUGUGUAUGCAUUUAGUCAUCAUCUCCCCCUGCAGUUUAGGGGAAAACCUUGUAGGGAGGGCUUGCAUGGGUCUCUGGAAUUUGACCAAUUGUGCAGGGUCUGCCUGAGUGGGCGGGGCUUGUCGUGGUGUGCAGUGAUUGCUCAGAUGUACAGGACUCACCCAGGUGUGCGGUGCUUGCAAGGAUGUGCUGGAGUAGACAGGGUUUGGCUGGGUGAGCUGCUCAUGUGCAAACUAUCUGAGGAAUGCUUUGGUUUGUCAACUCUCCCAUACCUGAGUUAGGACCGAUUGAUAGAUUCAGAGAACUUGCCAAGCCACCGCACCCACGUUACAUUUGAUUAAUUAUUCAUUGUUAUGUUCUGCAUUUCUGGAUAAUUUUGGAAAAACAAAAUGGCAGCUGAAUGUCAAAUAUUAAUCACAGCAGCAGCAAAAUUUACCAUCAUGUCAACAGCUAUGUUAGAAAGAAUCCUCUGUUUUUCAGCUGUAUGCUAAAUAUUCCCUCUCUGGAAAUCUGGAUGGCAAAACCCUUUAAUAGAAUCUCAAUUGGAGGAUCGGUUUAUUCAUUUAUUUACAUAUGUAUAAUUUUUAUGAUUAAAGGAAUUAACAACAACUAUCAAAGCAAACAUACUUUAAAAUGUGAGCCAGGGAGAGGGUGAGUGAGAAGCCCAAUAGCCACUCAAACACCAAAGAUUUAUGGCUUUUCUUAGCCAAAUUCUACAGUGAUGUUGCUGUAAUCAGCCCCUGAGAGCCGUGAAAUAACACCAAGACAAAAAGGGAGAGAGCCGAGGAAGGAAGCAGAGCCUUAUAUAACUUAUAA